GUGUCAGCAGCCGCGGUAAUACGUAGGUGACCAGCGUUGUCCGGAUUUACUGGGCGUAAAGAGCGCGCAGGCGGUCGUUCAAGUCGAGUGUGAAAGCCCCCGGCUCAACUGGGGAGGGUCACUCGAUACUGAUCGACUUGAAGGCAGGAGAGGGAAGCGGAAUUCCCGGUGUAGUGGUGAAAUGCGUAGAUAUCGGGAGGAACACCAGUGGCGAAGGCGGCUUCCUGGCCUGUUCUUGACGCUGAGGCGCGAAAGCUAGGGGAGCAAACGGGAUUAGAAACCCCCGUAGUCC
Molecule: ribosomal RNA, 292 nt
Filed under: uncultured bacterium
Lineage: Bacteria
Description: partial 16S ribosomal RNA
Rfam family: Bacterial small subunit ribosomal RNA
Source: RNAcentral